GUGCUCGCUUCAGCAACACGUAUACUAAAACUGGAAUGAUACAGAGAAGAUUAGCAUGGCCCCUGGGCAAGGAUGGCACGCAAAUUCGUGAAGUGUUCCAUAUAUUU
Molecule: small nuclear RNA, 107 nt
Filed under: Balaenoptera musculus (blue whale)
Lineage: Eukaryota; Metazoa; Chordata; Mammalia; Artiodactyla; Balaenopteridae
Source: RNAcentral